CCGACUCGUUUUUCCACGCUGAUUUCCCCAGUGGCCAAAUCAUAGCCAAAAUCCUGACCAAACGGCUGAAAACACGGUCGAAAGCCAGCGGCGCCGCCGCACCCCUUCUCGGUUUUUGCCUCCGAUGAGGCCCUUCCCGGCCUCCGUUAAAUGCAAUUUUUAUAUCACCGUGAUCACCAUUCUUUUCUCUACAGGUUGAUCAGAGCUGAAUCACCAAAACACGAACUUCACUGGAGAGCCGCCGCACCCGAGAGCACCGCCGCCGGUAAGCUUCGGUUUUUCGUAAAUUUUCGGCCCCCCGAGGGCCGUAGGGUUGUUUUAUCACAGGAACCAAUGCGAGUGUGGCUGAAUUCGGCCAGAAACGGCCGAAAACGGCCAAUCCGAGGCGAACCGCCGUCGCCGGAGCACGACAGAGCCGCCGUGCUGGAGUUGCGAUAUUGGCCGAAAGGGGCCCUGGGCCUAAUUUGGGAUUUUU
RNAcentral lists this long non-coding RNA (475 nucleotides) under Carica papaya (papaya). RNAcentral describes it as "long non-coding RNA (CPAP_LNC002677)". The record is from RNAcentral. Lineage: Eukaryota; Viridiplantae; Streptophyta; Magnoliopsida; Brassicales; Caricaceae.